Molecule: long non-coding RNA, 4616 nt
Organism: Myxocyprinus asiaticus (Chinese sucker)
Lineage: Eukaryota; Metazoa; Chordata; Actinopteri; Cypriniformes; Catostomidae
Exons: 3
Source: RefSeq, a predicted model, not a curated record
GUCGGGGAAUCAUAGGUCCGUCUGAAUCGAGCUGCAGUGCAGAGCCUGAAUGGGGGGCUUGGCCCCGGGCCAGUGUCGUCAAAAUUAGCUCUCUGUUCAAUGAUAUGCAGUCAGCCAGUGGACGCGGUAUCGUCGGGUCCUGACGCCCCAGUCCUGCAGCCUUGUAUGGGGUGUAAGAACCCCCACAAGGCUGCUUACCACCGCUGGAGCCUUUUUCUGUGCACACGAGCGAUUUGGGGGCAACAGCGGGCGAAAAAGCAAUUUAAAAGGACAACAAGAAGAAAGGCUUUAUCUGUUUCUGCUUCAAGUGUGACACCAACAGGUGCAAUGGGGGAUCCCAAGAGCACUGACAGCUGUGUUCCUGGCCCUGGUGGCGCAGAGAAGGACUGCCAUGAAGAAUCAACAUUCCUUCUGUGUGAUGUAGGAUAGAGAAUGGCCCUGAGGAGGAAAUUCUAUCCUCAUGUAUAUUGUUUAUUUCCUAAAUCAUGUAUAUCCUUAUUUUUUAUGGUUAUGGCGUGUGGUACAGGUGAAUUAUUAUGACGCUGGGGUUUUUUCCCCCAUCUAUGUGAUUAAUAAUAUUUUAGAAAAUCCUGGGACUCUAAGCCUUGAUGAUAUGAUCUUUGGAGGGGAGCGGCGGUAAAGACAUUCAGCACCUUAAGACAGAUCUGACCGACUGGAGCUUCACUAAAGACCCACGUGUCUGUGUUUGCAAACUCCACAGCGGAUCCCUCGCGGCGGCAGCAACAGCACGUCUUCCACUUGUCCACUUCUAAUUUGCACGGCUGUGAUCUUUCAUCCACCUCAUUGUUCAUACUGCAAUUCCUGUAAACAAACACACAAAGGGUUAAUCUACACAUCAAUGUUCUGUAUACAUGCAUUUACAUGGGACAAUACUGUAAACAUGCCAAACACUAGUCGACCGAUAUGGGCUUUUCUUCUUUCUUUUUUUAAUUGUAUUUUUAUUGGCCGAUACCAAUGAGGGAAUUUACAAUUGUGAUUUCCUGGCCGGGAAAUGUCACGGAAGUUUAUCAGAUCUUCAGAAAGCGGAGAUUUCUUUAAGAGAAUAUACAUUUUUCUCUUUAUGCACUGCUCUAAAUUAUUAAAUAGGCUAGAAAUUGCUCAAUAAAAUUAUUUUUUAAAUAUCCUUGUCCAGUAAUCUUGAACGACUAAAAAAGUCAGGGUAGUAAAUAAACCCUACACAAAGUUGCUGAAUUUAAAUGAACACUUAUUUUACAUGAUUAUAAAUUCCCUGAAACUGAGCAAUAUUGUAUAGACUCUUGUGGGAUUUUAAAACUGACCCAAGGAGUUUCUAGCACUUAUGUUAAGGGAAUAUUCCGGGUUCAAUACGAGUUAAUCUCAAUCGACAGCAUUUGUGUCAUAAUGUAUAUUACCACAAAAAUUUAUUUUGUCUCGUCCCUCCUUUUCUUUAAAAAAAGCACAAAUGUGUGUUCCAGUGAGACACUUACAAUGGAAGUCAAUGGGGUCAAUCUGUAAACAUUAAAAUACUCACUGUUUCAAAAGUAUAAACACAAGACAUAAACAAUAUGUGUGUUAACAUGAUUUUAGUGCGAUAAAAUUAGGGAUAUAUCAGCGUUGUGUCGUUUUCCAGAACGCAUGUAAACCAUGUAAUAUGUCGUCAUGACAACAAAGUUCUAAUAUUAGAUAUAACUUUACACAGAAAAGGUUUCUAAGCGAUUUUAUCACACUAAAAUCAUGUUAACAUGCAUAAUGUUUACGACUUGUGUCUAUGCUUUUAAAUUAGUAGAUAUUUUAGCCUUUACAGAUUGGCCCCAUUGACUUCCAUUGUAAGUGUCUCACUGUAACUGCAACUUUUUUUGCUUCUUUAUUUAAAACUAAACAAGGGAUGAGUCAAAAUAAAUUUUUGUGGUGAUCAACAUUAUGCCACAAAUGCUUGACUUGUGUUGAACCCGGAAUAUUCCUUUAAUCGACAAAUUAUUGGGCGUCGUCGACAAUCUCAAAAUUGCCAAAUGUUGGGCCGACCAAUAUAGACAGUACUGUGCAAAAGUUUUAGGGACUUGUGAAAAAUGUUGCAUAGUGAGGAUGUCUUCAAAAAUAAUGACAUAAAUAGUUUUCAUUUAUCACUUAAUGUCAUACAAAGUCCAGUAAACAUAAAAAAGCUAAAUCAAUAUUCGGUGUGACCACCUUUGCCUUUAAAACAGCCCCAAUUCUCCUAGAUACACCUGGACACAGUUUUUCUUGGUUGUUGGCAGAUAGGAUGUUCAAGCUUCUUGGAGAAUUUUCCACAGUUCUUCUAUCUAUUUCGGCUGUCUCAAUUGCUUCUGUCUCUUUAUAUAAUCUCAGACUGACACAAUGUUCAGUGGGGGCUCUGUGGGGGCCAUGACAUCUGUUGCAGGGCUCCCUGUUCUUCUAUCUAUUUCGGCUGUCUCAAUUACUUCUGUCUCUUCAUAUAAUCUCAGACUGACUCGAUGUUCAGUGGGGGGCUCUGUGGGGGCCAUGACAUCUGUUGCAGGGCUCCCUGUUCUUCUUUCUAUUUCGGCUGUCUCAAUUGCUUCUGUCUCUUUAUAUAAUCUCAGACUGACACGAUGUUCAGUGGGGGACUCUGUGGGGGCAAUGACAUCUGUUGCAGGGCUCCCUGUUCUUCUAUCUAUUUCGGCUGUCUCAAUUGCUUCUGUCUCUUUAUAUAAUCUCAGACUGACACGAUGUUCAGUGGGGGGCUCUGUGGGGGCCAUGACAUCUGUUGCAGGGCUCCCUGUUCUUCUAUUCUAAUCUUUUCUAUUUGCAAAAGUAAUCUUUGGGAGUCUAACAUUUAUAUUUCCUACUGACACACUAAAGCUGAAGAUAUACAUAACCAUCUUAAGACAAAUGUUUUUGUGAAACAUGACUUUUGCACAGUACUGUAUAUACAAUAUAUAUAUAUAUAUAUAUAUAUAUAUAUCGUCUGUCACUACCAAACACAUACAGACAUCCAAACACUUCAGUUUCACAAUGUCCUUGCCAGAAAACGCUUCGAUUCGUCCUAUUUGUCUUCAUCACUAAACAACGUCAAUCAAUACUCACACUUUACAGUAUUUACUGAGGCUAAGAGUCCCCACUUCUCAUGCAGUUACUAGAAAAAGCUACGGAGUUCAUCAUUUUUAUUUUAUUUUUGUAGAAUUUUUGCUUUUUUUUGUUUUGUUGCUUUGUUAGUAUAUUAAUGUGUAAUCAUGUACGUUGUGAUAUAGAAAUAGCUGUAGAGACGCAUUGUUUCCUUGUGGUAAGUGACUGAGAUGCUGCCACGGAUUUGAGACACUGAUGAAUGGUGCUAUUUUGGACUUUUAUCUGCUCCUUGGUAAGGAAGCUCAGAUGGUUUUUAUUUUAUGUUUUCGUGUUGGGAGGUGUUGGCUCUUUGUUGUCUGGUUGUCGUAACUCGGAUCGGAUUGACUUUUCUCCCCUUGUUGUUUUCCGUGCGGCUUUCUCAUUGGACAGAAAACGGAUUUGUCGAAGAGUUGGCGUUUUUUGCCUUGGACAUGAUCAUUUGCAAAAUUACAAAACCGUAGACAGUCGGAGCAAUCACAAAACUGCAAUUAUUAACACUAUUUACCCGUUAAUGUAAAGGUUUAAUUCAAGAAGUAGUGACAAUUCCUGGCACUAGUCACUUCUAGGGUCCCUUGUGAAAUGAAUUUUUAUGGGGUUUUUUAAGCAAUUGCUUCCUUACAGUUAAAGUGUAAUUUUACCAUGCAUAAUAUACAGUCAACUAUAAAUAAGCCAUUUGUAGGUUUAAUCUCCCCAAAACAUCCCGACCAGCUCGACACAGCAACAUUGACUCAAUCAACGAAUGACAGGAUUAGUCUUCAUAUGUCGCAAGUGGCACAGUAAUUACACACUUUACCUUUAAAUACAUCAAGGACACAUUCAAAUUGUAAUCACUGCAAAACAUGGAGGUGUUGCUGUUGUAGGUUGCUGUGCACAGUCGCAGGUGAAGGUGUUUUAUAUAGUGUACAUACCAGGGCAGCUGUAUACUCUGCACCAGCCGGGAAUAUCUGAUAAAUAAAAUCACAAUCAUCCGUUUUGCACACAGGGUCAUUUGAUGUAUUUUCUAGGGCAUCAAAACCAACAGUCUCAACGACUGUUUUAAAGAAUGGUUUUGUAAAUGACUUAUAUUAGUUUUAGGAUACAAACCAAAAGCUUUAUAUUUAUUCUUUUGGGUGAUUCAUUUAAGUGGCAAGGUAUCAUCACUCGGUAUUUGCAGUUUUGUCUUUGCUUCCAGUUAACACAUUAACAAUCCUAAUUCAAAGACCAACUGGAAAGCCCACGUUAGUUUUGUCGUCUUCCAUAUUUUUCCACUCUAGUGGGGAACUUCCCAGCUUGCUCUAGUCUUUCCUUAUUGCUGACAGCAUAUCCACUGCAUGCUCUUUGCUCUUGGUUUUGUUUUUGAUCUGAAUCAUUGUACUUGCAGUUUCCUUACGUAGAAUAGGUAUGCCAACUUUGUUGUAAAUAGCCAGUGAAUUAUAGAAUGUUGAAUUACUCUGUUAUAACUGUGUAUUAUUGGUGUACAAACCUGAAGUCUAGGCUUGUGAACUUUAUAAUGAUUCACUAGUAUUUCAUGACAUUUUGCAACUUAAGCUGUAGUUGAAUAAAUAUGCAAGCUCUCACAA